UGGUAGAUAAAAAUAAAAAAAAACCUUUAAAAAAACACACACUUCUGUGCCACUGUUGCAUCUGCAUAGAUGAGUGGUGUGAGUAGAGAUGUUGGAGAAUUCAUCAAAACUUGAAACAGGAGUGGAAAUUGCUGCAACUUGCAUGUUCUACAGAGGUCAGGAAUAGAGAUCACACAAGCAAGUGCGAGCAGUAUUCACUAUCAUGGUUUUCUUCUAGGUCCACAAAUGUUAUGUAAACUUACCACUAAUACACUAUUAUUGCAUCAGUGACUUGUUACAGAACUCACCCACAAAUAAACACCAGCCAGAAGAGAGACCUGUGACCAGGAUGAAUGCUCAAUACGUCAUCUGGAAGAGCCCCAUCUCAAAACAUGCAAAACCUCAAAGAAACCCCAUGGAAAGCCUUAGCUGCUGCACACUCUCCCAGCCUCUAGAUGGCACCUCCCUCACAUCGCUCCAUAUUUACUUCUUAAUAUUGACCAUCUUGUAAACAACCUCGGUAUGUACUUCACUCUGUCACAGUUACAGUGGCCCAUCUGCUGUCCUGAACCCCAGACCUACCUAGUGGCAAGUCAGUAUGUCAAGUCCUUAGUCCAAGGUCAAGCCACGUGUCCAAAGUCCAAACUGAAGCACCGUCUGGCAGAGAUCCUGGAACAUCCAAGCUGAGGUCCAUCAACAUGGGCAGUUGAGGAGAUACAGCAACUUAACUCUGCUGCCCUUUUGUACUUUGCAUGCUGACUGCAGCAUCUGGGCUUGAUGAGGCAUGUGACCCUCACCUGUUCCAAUCCUAUUCCAGCUGAGGAAUCACACCCCUCCUCCCAGAGCUAGCAUGUCUCACCUGGCCAGAGCUAGAGAGCUGGGCUGUGGACCCUUGCCUGCCUCAGCCUCCUGGAGCUCCCCACCCAUUGCUCCCUAUGCCUCAGAGCCCACCGCGUGAGGGUCAUUAUGGCUCUGGUGAUGGGUCCUGCUGCUUUGGUUCCUGUGCACUUGACCCCCAUUCCCCCCAUUGUCCUGCCAGUUCAUGAUAUCUGCUCUCUGAGGCUUUUGAUGUCAGAUUGAGGUGGUUAUGAUUAAUGUUAUAUUUCCCCUGUCUUGUUAUGCAGCUAAACAUGUUUUAGUCAUAUUUUAAUGUGUGUGUUUUGUGGUGAACCGCUUUGUGAUAUUGAAUGAUAAUGGAACUAUAUAUGUUUUAAAUAAAAUAAAGAAAAAACUUCUCCCCUGGGGCUUUUUCUGUUCAGUAAAUGUGGACAAGUUGGGGAGGCUGCAGAGACAGCACUGCAGAAAUGCUACGGUGGAAAGAGAGAGAAAACCACAUACCACCCUCAGUUUUCUGUUCCCAUCAAUAAGGAAAUUUCAACUUUUGAAGGAAUUCUGAUGUGACUUCAGAAUGAGGAAGAAAAAUAGAAGCCUAUUUCCAAGAGGAAGAGAAUUUCUGAGACAGAAUAGUUGUUG
This 1452-nucleotide long non-coding RNA is filed under the name Podarcis muralis (Common wall lizard). RNAcentral describes it as "lncRNA (ENSPMRG00000014023.1)". The record is from RNAcentral. Lineage: Eukaryota; Metazoa; Chordata; Lepidosauria; Squamata; Lacertidae.